UAAGCAUAUCAAUAAGCGCAGGAAAAGAAACCAACAGGGAUUGCCUCAGUAACGGCGAGUGAAGCGGCAACAGCUCAAAUUUGAAAUCUGGCCUCUCGGGGUCCGAGUUGUAAUUUGUAGAGGAUGUUUCGGGUACCGCCUCGGUUUAAAUUUCUUGGAACAGAAUGUCAAAGAGGGUGAGAAUCCCGUCUUGGACCGGCGGUAGGGCCUAUGUGAAACUCCUUCGACGAGUCGAGUUGUUUGGGAAUGCAGCUCAAAAUGGGUGGUAAAUUUCAUCUAAAGCUAAAUAUUGGCCAGAGACCGAUAGCGCACAAGUAGAGUGAUCGAAAGAUGAAAAGCACUUUGAAAAGAGAGUUAAACAGUAUGUGAAAUUGUUGAAAGGGAAGCGCUUGCAACCAGACUUGAGCGCGGCGGUUCCCCCUUGCUUCUGCUUGGGUUACUCCGCCGUGUCCAGGCCAACAUCGGUUCUGGGGGUCGGUCAAAGGCCUUGGGAAUGUAUCUACCUACGGGUAGACCUAUAGACCAGGGUGUCAUGCGACCUCCCGGGACCGAGGAACGCGCUUCGGCUCGGAUGUUGGCGUAAUGGUUGUCAGCGACCCGUCUUGAAACACGGACCAAGGAGUCUAACAUCUAUGCGAGUGUUUGGGUGUCAAACCCGGAACGCGAAAUGAAAGUGAACGGAGGUAGGAAGCUUCGGCUGCACUAUCGACCGAUCCUGAAGUUUACGGAUGGAUUUGAGUAAGAGCAUAGCUGUUGGGACCCGAAAGAUGGUGAACUAUGCCUGAAUAGGGUGAAGCCAGAGGAAACUCUGGUGGAGGCUCGCAGCGGUUCUGACGUGCAAAUCGAUCGUCAAAUUUGGGUAUAGGGGCGAAAGACUAAUCGAACCAUCUGGUAGCUGGUUCCUGCCGAA
This 910-nucleotide ribosomal RNA is filed under the name Cladophialophora brasiliensis. Its description in RNAcentral is "Fonsecaea brasiliensis LSU rRNA". It matches the Rfam family "Eukaryotic large subunit ribosomal RNA", at positions 35 to 965 of the family's 3401-position model. The record is from RNAcentral. Lineage: Eukaryota; Fungi; Ascomycota; Eurotiomycetes; Chaetothyriales; Herpotrichiellaceae.